GACGAACGCUGGCGGCGUGCUUAACACAUGCAAGUCGAACGGAAGGGCCUGCUUUCCCUUGUGGAUUGCGGGUACUCGAGUGGCGAACGGGUGAGUAACACGUGAGUGAUCUGCCCCCAACUUGGGUAUAAGCCUGGGAAACUGGGUCUAAUUCCCGAUAGGACUGCAGGGUGGUGCCUGUGGUGGAAAACGAUUUUCUAGUGGUUGGGGAUGAGCUCGCGGCCUAUCAGCUUGUUGGUGGGGUAAUGGCCUACCAAGGCGGCGACGGGUAGCCGGCCUGGGGGGGUGGACGGCCACAUUGGGACUGAGAGACGGCCCAGACUCCUACGGGAGGCAGCAGUGGGGAAUAUUGCACAAUGGGCGGAAGCCUGAUGCAGCGACGCCGCGUGGGGGAUGACGGCCUUCGGGUUGUAAACUCCUUUCGACCGCGAGGAAGCCACCUGGUUGGAAGGGUGGUGACGGUAGUGGUAGAAGAAGCACCGGCUAACUACGUG
Molecule: ribosomal RNA, 494 nt
Filed under: uncultured bacterium
Lineage: Bacteria
Description: partial 16S ribosomal RNA
Rfam family: Bacterial small subunit ribosomal RNA
Source: RNAcentral